RNAcentral lists this ribosomal RNA (253 nucleotides) under uncultured bacterium. RNAcentral describes it as "partial 16S ribosomal RNA". It matches the Rfam family "Bacterial small subunit ribosomal RNA", at positions 524 to 776 of the family's 1533-position model. The record is from RNAcentral.
UACGUAGGGGGCUAGCGUUGUCCGGGUUUAUUGGGCGUAAAGAGCGUGUAGGCGGCCAGGUAGGUCUGGUGUGAAAACUCGAGGCUUAACCUCGAGAUGUCAUCGGAAACCAUUUGGCUAGAGUCCGGAAGAGGAGAGUGGAAUUCCUGGUGUAGCGGUGAAAUGCGCAGAUAUCAGGAAGAACACCAAUGGCGAAAGCAGCUCUCUGGGACGGUACUGACGCUGAGACGCGAAAGCGUGGGGAGCGAACAGG